This 489-nucleotide long non-coding RNA is filed under the name Vigna radiata. RNAcentral describes it as "long non-coding RNA (VRAD_LNC015055)". Lineage: Eukaryota; Viridiplantae; Streptophyta; Magnoliopsida; Fabales; Fabaceae. The record is from RNAcentral.
GCAAAUUUAGGGAUCUACUAUCAUUACCCGUGGAAGAGCGGCUUAAGAAAAUGCUUGAGGUUUGUAAAAUUAUUUGUUUUUUAUUGAGAUAGGGGCAUUAAGAUCUAACAAAAAUUUUCCAUACUUCCUAUUAAGACUAUCCUCCUUGUACUUACUUAGCAUAUGAGAAGGCUAUUUCAGAUGGUGUGGAUGUUUUUGACUAUCCUGUUCAAAUGUCCAAGGAUGGAAUACCUUCUUGCUUAAGCUCUAUUCAUCCUAUUGGGCUGUAAAGUAUUUAUUAUUAUCUAUGCAAUUUUGUGUUGUUGCUUUCAUCUCUAAAUUGUACUAAUGUGUUGUGUUGUGCAUGGCAGAGGCAGAAGUCCUUACAGCUCCACCAAGAUUAGUAUAUAACAACCUAAUUUUGAGGUAAACAUAGACCCUUUACAGCUUUUCCAAAGCAUACUUUACAUAUAAGCUUGUCAUUUCGUCCCCCCACCCUCCGACCCCUCC